GGCCUAUUAGCUCAGUGGUUAGAGCAGCAUCCUUAUAAGAUGUGUGUCUCGGGUUCAAGUCCCGGAUAGGCUA
This 73-nucleotide transfer RNA is filed under the name Bacteriophage sp. RNAcentral describes it as "tRNA-Ile". It matches the Rfam family "tRNA". From Rfam's summary of the family: Transfer RNA (tRNA) molecules are approximately 80 nucleotides in length. The record is from RNAcentral.